RNAcentral lists this ribosomal RNA (780 nucleotides) under uncultured bacterium. RNAcentral describes it as "bacterial SSU rRNA". It matches the Rfam family "Bacterial small subunit ribosomal RNA", at positions 8 to 833 of the family's 1533-position model. The record is from RNAcentral.
AGAGUUUGAUCCUGGCUCAGAACGUACGCUGGCGGCACGCCUAACACAUGCAAGUCGAACGAAGUAGCAAUACUUAGUGGCAGACGGGUGAGUAACAUGUGGGUAUCUACCCUUUGGCCUGGAAUAACACGAGGAAACUUGUGCUAAUACCGGAUAAGUCUUUACUGAGAAAGCUUUAUGCACCAUUGGAUGAGCCCGCACUUGAUUAGUUUGUUGGUAGGGUAAUGGCCUACCAAGACUAUGAUCAAUAGCUGAUUUGAGAGGAUGAUCAGCCACAUUGGGACUGAGACACGGCCCAAACUCCUACGGGAGGCAGCAGUGGGGAAUCUUGCACAAUGGAGGAAACUCUGAUGCAGCGAUGCCGCGUGAGUGAAGAAGGCCUUUGGGUUGUAAAGCUCUUUCGUCGGGGAAGAAAAUGACUGUACCCGAAUAAGAAGGUCCGGCUAACUUCGUGCCAGCAGCCGCGGUAAUACGAAGGGACCUAGCGUAGUUCGGAAUUACUGGGCUUAAAGAGUUCGUAGGUGGUUGAAAAAGUUGGUGGUGAAAUCCCAGAGCUUAACUCUGGAACUGCCAUCAAAACUUUUCAGCUAGAGUAUGAUAGAGGAAAGCAGAAUUUCUAGUGUAGAGGUGAAAUUCGUAGAUAUUAGAAAGAAUACCAAUUGCGAAGGCAGCUUUCUGGAUCAUUACUGACACUGAGGAACGAAAGCAUGGGUAGCGAAGAGGAUUAGAUACCCUCGUAGUCCAUGCCGUAAACGAUGUGCGUUAGACGUUGGAAAUUUA